Molecule: ribosomal RNA, 301 nt
Filed under: uncultured bacterium
Lineage: Bacteria
Description: partial 16S ribosomal RNA
Rfam family: Bacterial small subunit ribosomal RNA
Source: RNAcentral
CAGUAGCCGCGGUAAUACGAAGGGUGCAAGCGUUACUCGGAAUUACUGGGCGUAAAGCGUGCGUAGGUGGUGGUUUAAGUCCGUUGUGAAAGCCCUGGGCUCAACCUGGGAAUUGCAGUGGAUACUGGGUCACUAGAGUGUGGUAGAGGAUAGUGGAAUUUCCGGUGUAGCAGUGAAAUGCGUAGAGAUCGGAAGGAACAUCUGUGGCGAAGGCGACUAUCUGGGCCAACACUGACACUGAGGCACGAAAGCGUGGGGAGCAAACGGGAUUAGAUACCCCCGUAGUCCCUGUCUCUUAUAC